CCCUUAGAUGUUCUGGGCCGCACGCGCGCUACACUGUUCGACGCAGCGAGUCUUAACCUUGACCGAAAGGUUUGGGUAAUCUUCAGCAAAGUCGAACGUGAUGGUGAUCGAUCAUUGCAAUUAUUGAUCGUGAACGAGGAAUUCCUAGUAAGUGCAAGUCAUCAGCUUGCGCUGAUUACGUCCCUGCCCUUUGUACACACCGCCCGUCGCUACUACCGAUUGAAUGGUUUAGUGAGAUCUCUGGAUUGACGCUGGCUAGGGGGCGACCCUUGGCCAGACUGUUGAGAAACUGCUCAAACUUGAUCAUUUAGAGGAAGUAAAAGUCGUAACA
Molecule: ribosomal RNA, 331 nt
Filed under: uncultured eukaryote
Lineage: Eukaryota
Description: partial 18S ribosomal RNA
Rfam family: Eukaryotic small subunit ribosomal RNA
Source: RNAcentral